GGCUUCGUGCUCGAAAGAGAGCCGUAACACAGGUGCUGCAUGGCUGUCGUCAGCUCGUGUCGUGAGAUGUUGGGUUAAGUCCCGCAACGAGCGCAUCCCUUGCCAUUAGUUGCUACGAAAGGGCACUCUAAUGGGACUGCCGGUGACAAACCGGAGGAAGGUGGGGAUGACGUCAAGUCCUCAUGGCCCUUAUAGGUGGGGCUACACACGUCAUACAAUGGCCGGUACAAAGGGCAGCCAACCCGCGAGGGGGAGCCAAUCCCAUAAAGCCGGUCGUAGUCCGGAUCGCAGUCUGCAACUCGACUGCGUGAAGUCGGAAUCGCUAGUAAUCGUGGAUCAGCAUGUCACGGUGAAUACGUUCCCGGGUCUUGAACACACCGCCCGUCACACCAUGGGAGCGGGUCUCGCCAGAAGUAGGUAGCCUAACCGCAAGGAGGGCGCUUACCACGGCGGGGUUCGCGACUGGGGUGAAGUCGUAACAAGGUAGCCGUAUCGGAAGG
RNAcentral lists this ribosomal RNA (500 nucleotides) under uncultured bacterium. Its description in RNAcentral is "bacterial SSU rRNA". It matches the Rfam family "Bacterial small subunit ribosomal RNA", at positions 1006 to 1512 of the family's 1533-position model. The record is from RNAcentral.